GGCAACAUGGCCGAGCGGUCUAAGGCGCCAGAAUCAGGCCGUUGGGUUGUUGAUUCAACCUGGCUUAUCUGGUCCGAAAGGGCGUGGGUUCGAAUCCCACUGUUGUCA
Molecule: non-coding RNA, 108 nt
Organism: Lentinus tigrinus ALCF2SS1-7
Lineage: Eukaryota; Fungi; Basidiomycota; Agaricomycetes; Polyporales; Polyporaceae
Source: the annotation of a GenBank genome assembly